UACCUUCCUCUCUUCCCUCAGUGCCUG
Molecule: non-coding RNA, 27 nt
Filed under: Mus musculus (house mouse)
Lineage: Eukaryota; Metazoa; Chordata; Mammalia; Rodentia; Muridae
Source: RNAcentral